AACGGGUGAGUAACACGUGGGUAACCUGCCCAUCAGAAGGGGAUAACACUUGGAAACAGGUGCUAAUACCGUAUAACACUAUUUUCCGCAUGGAAGAAAGUUGAAAGGCGCUUUUGCGUCACUGAUGGAUGGACCCGCGGUGCAUUAGCUAGUUGGUGAGGUAACGGCUCACCAAGGCAACGAUGCAUAGCCGACCUGAGAGGGUGAUCGGCCACACUGGGACUGAGACACGGCCCAGACUCCUACGGGAGGCAGCAGUAGGGAAUCUUCGGCAAUGGACGAAAGUCUGACCGAGCAACGCCGCGUGAGUGAAGAAGGUUUUCGGAUCGUAAAACUCUGUUGUUAGAGAAGAACAAGGAUGAGAGUAAAAUGUUCAUCCCUUGACGGUAUCUAACCAGAAAGCCACGGCUAACUACGUGCCAGCAGCCGCGGUAAUACGUAGGUGGCAAGCGUUGUCCGGAUUUAUUGGGCGUAAAGCGAGCGCAGGCGGUUUCUUAAGUCUGAUGUGAAAGCCCCCGGCUCAACCGGGGAGGGUCAUUGGAAACUGGGAGACUUGAGUGCAGAAGAGGAGAGUGGAAUUCCAUGUGUAGCGGUGAAAUGCGUAGAUAUAUGGAGGAACACCAGUGGCGAAGGCGGCUCUCUGGUCUGUAACUGACGCUGAGGCUCGAAAGCGUGGGGAGCGAACAGGAUUAGAUACCCUGGUAGUCCACGCCGUAAACGAUGAGUGCUAAGUGUUGGAGGGUUUCCGCCCUUCAGUGCUGCAGCAAACGCAUUAAGCACUCCGCCUGGGGAGUACGACCGCAAGGUUGAAACUCAAAGGAAUUGACGGGGGCCCGCACAAGCGGUGGAGCAUGUGGUUUAAUUCGAAGCAACGCGAAGAACCUUACCAGGUCUUGACAUCCUUUGACCACUCUAGAGAUAGAGCUUCCCCUUCGGGGGCAAAGUGACAGGUGGUGCAUGGUUGUCGUCAGCUCGUGUCGUGAGAUGUUGGGUUAAGUCCCGCAACGAGCGCAACCCUUAUUGUUAGUUGCCAUCAUUUAGUUGGGCACUCUAGCGAGACUGCCGGUGACAAACCGGAGGAAGGUGGGGAUGACGUCAAAUCAUCAUGCCCCUUAUGACCUGGGCUACACACGUGCUACAAUGGGAAGUACAACGAGUUGCGAAGUCGCGAGGCUAAGCUAAUCUCUUAAAGCUUCUCUCAGUUCGGAUUGUAGCUGCAACUCGCCUACAUGAAGCCG
This 1238-nucleotide ribosomal RNA is filed under the name Enterococcus casseliflavus. RNAcentral describes it as "bacterial SSU rRNA". It matches the Rfam family "Bacterial small subunit ribosomal RNA", at positions 101 to 1328 of the family's 1533-position model. The record is from RNAcentral. Lineage: Bacteria; Bacillati; Bacillota; Bacilli; Lactobacillales; Enterococcaceae.